GAUAAACGCUGGCGGCGUGCAUAACACAUGCAAGUCGAACGAUGAAACUUAAAUGAUCUCUUCGGAGUGACUUUAAGUGGAUUAGUGGCGGACGGGUGAGUAACGCGUGAGUAACCUGCCUUGCACAAGGGGAUAGCCGUUGGAAACGACGAAUAAUACCCUAUGAUAUGAUAGUCUCGCAUGAGAUUAUCAUCAAAGAUUUAUCGGUGUAAGAUGGACUCGCGUCUGAUUAGAUAGUUGGUGGGGUAACUGCUCACCAAGGCAACGAUCAGUAGCCGGCUUGAGAGAGUGUGCGGCCACAUUGGGACUGAGACACGGCCCAGGCUCCUACGGGAGGCAGCAGUGGGGAAUUUUGCACAAUGGGGGAAACCCUGAUGCAGCGUCGCCGCGUGAUUUAGAAGGCCUUCGGGUUGUAAAAAUCUUUUGUAUGGGAAGAAAAUGACAGGACCAUACGAAUAAGGACCGGCUAAUUACGUGCCAGCCGCCGCAGUAA
Molecule: ribosomal RNA, 493 nt
Filed under: uncultured bacterium
Lineage: Bacteria
Description: partial 16S ribosomal RNA
Rfam family: Bacterial small subunit ribosomal RNA
Source: RNAcentral